This 5519-nucleotide long non-coding RNA is filed under the name Lotus japonicus. Its description in RNAcentral is "long non-coding RNA (LJAP_LNC001135)". Lineage: Eukaryota; Viridiplantae; Streptophyta; Magnoliopsida; Fabales; Fabaceae. The record is from RNAcentral.
AGUAGAAGGUAACUAUCAUUGUGGUUCUAUUACAGUUUUUUGAGUGAAAUUACAAGACUUUUAUGCCCUAUGUUACAGCCUGGUAUGUUCCACUAGUAUCUUAUUGAUCCCAAAUUCUUCAACCAGAGCAGUACCUCAGCAAAUCCUUCUCUGAGGCUUCUGGGCUUAUAACCCAGCUCUCUUUUAGCUUUCUCACAUGAAUACUCCCACUGAUGUCUUAAAACAUGCACGGUCUGAUCCAACAUUAAAGCACAAAAAUAAAAAGAGCAACAUUAGGAAUUCACAUUAUACAAUAGAACAGCCCCAAGAGACCACUUAUAGAUUGAAUCCAUUUUUAAUCCCCUCACAAUCACUUCAUCUAUAAAUGUUUCCCCUACUAGCUUCUAUACCAGAAUCACAUCUAUUUUAAACACAAACUUAGAGUACGUUUGGAUUCAAAUUCAAAUCUUUCAAAAUCAAUUCUGCUCCUACAAAGAGGUACUAGUUGUAUGUUUGGAAAAGCUUCUGGCGUAGAAUCCAAGGCAAUGUGAGCUAGAGUAGCUACAUAUUGGAGCUUCUCUUACCGUGAAUUUAAAUCAUACCAUAGAGUGUUUCCAAAUACUAAUUAGGCGUAACUUCUCCCAAAAUCAAUUUUUCUUCCAAUUAGGCGUAUCUAAACAUGCACUUAAAUGAUUCAAGAAGUGCUAAAACAAAAGAGCUUACCGGCGGACUGAUGAGGGGUAACUUGCCAGUGAUUCGAGAAACCAAAACAGAUAUCCAGCCAUAAACUUCAAUACCCCGCAAAGGGAUGUUAAUCGCUGGUUUUCUAGUAUCAGUUAUCACAGCAGCCAUGUCAAAAAUUUCCUUGAACGACGCAUUUUCACCCGUCAGCAGAUACCUAUUCCCAAGCUCUCCUUUCUCCAUUGCUGCAAUGUGACCCUCCACCACAUCAUCCACAUGGCUGAACGAAAAUUUAUCAUUCCCACUGCCAAUGUAACCAGGUAAUCGACCACAAAAUCGUUCUACAAGCUUACAAGUGAAACAAAAAUAAAUAAAAACACACUUUUCAGUUUCACUUCCAAUAUAGAGAAAAAAAAAAGCAUAACCAUGUAGAUAUGAUAAAACAGAACAAAAUUCAUAUAUGAUAAAACAGAACAGAAGCAAAGAAGAUUACCAUCCUUGCAACAACGUUUCCUGCAGUGACCUUGCCAGGCCCAUAGAUUACACCAGGAUAAAGCAACACUAUAGGCAUACCCUCUGACGCAGCUUGCAUUGCAAUCUUGUCAGCAGCAACCUUUGAUUUCUCAUACUCAGUGCAGAAAAAUUUCUCGUGAUGGGUCUGCAAUUAAAAUUAGAAAAUGGGUUUCUUAGAAUCAAACACACCAUCAACGAAAAGCAAGAAAAAAUAACUUUGAAUCGGUUACUUGAUUUUCAUCGGCAAUGCUUUCAUCAGUUGGUCCAAGAGCAAAAAACGACGACGUGUAUCCGAGUUUCUCCACUGUGUUGCUCUGCUUCACCGCCUCCAACACAUUCUUCAACCCUCCAACGUUGACCUGAAAGCGAUUUUCGGAUUGAAUCAACAACAGGGUUGAAUUUAUUGAUGAUGAAUGAGUGAAAAGGAGCUUACGGAGAAGAUUAUAGAGGGAUCAGGGAGCCAGGGCUCGACGAGCNNNNNNNNNNNNNNNNNNNNGCCGUAGAAGAUCUCGGAAGGCGGUGGAAGGGCGGAGAGAUCGCUGGUGCGUCUGGCGAGGAUCCUGACGGAGUAACCUUGUCGGAGAAGCGCGUGACAGAGCCUUCCUCCGAGGUAACCGGUUGCUCCGGUGACCAAUACCUUGUUCAUUUUCUCACUCACUGAAUUCUUUACCAGAAAAGUCAAUGUUCUGAACCUCCUCCUGACUUUGACUCCCGUCAGCACCGUUUACCAACUUGUCCCACCUAUUCCUUUUGCACCUUCUUCUCUUAAGAGUUUGUUUGGUAUAGAAGAGCAAGUAAGUGAGAGAGAGAAAAUUAAGUAGAGAUAAAGUUGUGAGGAAAAAAAAGUCUAGAUUUAAUAGGUUGUUUGGCUUUUUUUAUAAUCCAUGAAAUAUAUUGAAAUGAAAUAGAAGGGGUACUCACCCCAAUAUAAAGAAAAGUAAAAUAGACCUCGUUUUGAAACACAGCUUAAUUAAGCGCUUAUGACAUAAGCGCUUAGAAAUAAGGUAUUUUAAGCUUUUUAUUAAAAUAAAUUGAAAAUAAGCUCAAAACAGCUUAUGACAGGUCAUAAAUUGUUUGCAUAAGCUCUCCCAAACACUGGUAUAAGAGUUUAUGCUAUCAGAUAAGCUCAAAUAAGUUCUUCAAAACAGGGAAGUAGCAGGGAAAGCUAAAGCCAUUUUGGUAAAACUCAAGCUUUACACUUCAAAAGAAAACCCCGCAAGCUAGACUUUAGAAAAAAUGCAUCAUUAAAACCUUUUUAGGAAAAACCUUAUUGGAAUAAAAACCUAGUGAAGGAAAAAAAGUCUUCUUAUAGGUUGUUUAUGAAAGAGAAAAGCAAGUAUUGUGACAUCUUCAUCGCUUUAUUUGGUUAAAUAGAAAGUGAAAAGGGAGAAAAUUAUUUUUAUGUAAAAAGGAGGACAACUGGUUUGAUGGUGAGGAAAGUGCAACGAUGAUUCCCACCAAGGAGUAAAUGUUAAAGAUCCACAAACUGAUGGAAUCUUUGUGGCGGAGAAUGAUGUGAAUGACGACUGAGGGCUUGUUUUAUUACAGUUUCUGAAAACUGUAUUAAAAACUGUUACUGUUUUUCCAAGAAAAGAACAGUUUUUUCUUUCAAGAAAAAAUUAUUUGAAUUAUAUGUUUUCUAAGAUUAAAAAAAUUGUAAUCUGAAAACUAAAAACUGAAACAGAAAACAUUUUUUUAACUAUUAUGGUAAAACUGAAAUUGAGAACUAUUUUACAAAGCUGACAAGUUUUUUUUUCUUCUAGUUUUUAAAAUAGAAAACAAUUUUCAAAAACUGAAAUCAAACAGACUCUAAUAUUCUACGACGGAGAAGCCCCAUAGAAAAAUCAUAUAGCAUGGACGACGCUAGGAGGCUCAACGACGUUGGUGGACGAUAACGACGCUAGAAGAUUCAACAAAGCUAGUGGAAGAUAACAACAGUGAAAAGCUCGAUGACACGGGCGACAACGUUGGAAGGCUCGACGACGUAACAAUGAUGAUGACGCUGGUGAGGGGAGAAGAUGAAUUUGAUUUCGCAAAGCUGCUUAUACCUUUAAUAUUCAUUUUAUUUUAUUCUUAUAAUUAACAUAUCUCUGGAAUAUUUGAACCCUUCCUUUAACCUUUAGUCCAACGACCAUGACAUAUUGCUUUAAAGAGAUUGAGGGAUUUAGUGUUGUAGAGGCUUUGGAUUGAUGAAGAACACAAUCCGGUUUUCUUCUUAAUUUGAUAAUAUUGCGUAAAGGUUGUAGGACCCACCAUUUUUAGACUCUCUCGGUCUCUCCAUUUGAGAAGAUGCAAAUCAAAUGAGGGAAGAGCUAACCUAACUCUCUCUUCCCUCUUUCUCUCUGCCCAAACCACCUCCAUACAAACACAACAUUAAUUUGAAAAAUGUUUAGUAGACGACUCAGGACGGUAGAAAUUCAGAGUGAGUAAGGAAAAGAGUAAGGAGAAGUAAUAUAUAUGAUAUAUAUUUGAUGUAAUGUAAUAAUUAAGAAGUAAGAAACGUAAAGAAAAAUCAAGUGUUUGAGGAAUGUAUUUAUUGUCGGUGCUCUAUAAUUUUAUGUAUCAUAAUUGUUUUAAUUAUUAUUUUAAAAGGCUCUUAAUCUUAAUAGGUGUAACUUUUUUAUUUGUUAGCUAAAACAUAUCUAACUAAAAUAUUUGCUCUGUCCCUGAUUAUAAACUAAAGUUGUAAAAAUCAUGGUUAUUAAGAAAGUCUUAAUUGAUACAUUUAUUUUUUAAAAAAUGGUACAAUAUUCCAUAUUUACCAAUAUUUAAGUGGGUAGUACAAGGAAAAAAGAGAAUAAGAGUAAGUUUCAAUUUCAAAUUUUUGAAAUUGAAAAACCAAUAAAUGCAAGGACAAAUAUGGAAAAAAUAUUUAACUUUUAUUAGUUAGCUUAUAUUUAGUGACACCACAUACUUUACGGAAAGAGUAGAAUUUAAUUUACAAACUGAUGUAAAAUAUAAUUUUGUAAGAAUGAAAUUAUCAUCCAUGAACCAAAAUAUGAGUAUUUCCAUAAGGAAAAUGUUGUGGGGCACGAUCUUAGGGCUCGUGCACCACGCACGAAGCACUUUCUAGCGGUUUAAAACCGCCAGAAACCGUACGAAAAAAUAUGUGUUUUUUUUUUUUUUGUGUAUUUUUUUUUUUGGGGGUUUUUAAAACCGCCACAAAAUUACUCUCGUGCAUCUCGUACUAUAUAGCAUUGCUCUUUCCAUAAAUUAAGAAUGUAUUUCAAAAACAAAAUAGAGGGAUCAAAACCAAGAAUUCUCUAUUUUGUAAGGAUAAAAAACACAUUUAACUCAAUGCAUGUUUGUAAUUACAUGUAUAAAGAAGUUUUACUAUAAAGAAGUAAAAUUAACAAAAAGGAAAAAUAUUGUGUAUCAAGUGUGAGUAAGUCUCACAUUGGAAGAUAAGAAUAACUUGAACGGUUUAUAAGUGUGAGGGCUCAUACACCUACUGCCUUAAGGUUUUGGGUAAAAGAUGUGGUGUCCAACUCACUUGUGAUUUGCUCUUUAGCCAUAUGUGCAUGGAUUAUCCCCUAUAAUUUAAAUCACCUCCUUUAGGCCCAACAAUGAUAUCAGAGCUGAUGGUUGUUUGAGCAUGGUGACCGGCUCUUGGCUUCUUGUGUCUAAAGUCUUCUUGACAAUAUUGUGGUCAGGCGGCGAGUCUCGUUGAUCAACCCAACAAUGCCGUAUUUGGAGGCUGUAGCUUUCGUUUAAGAUAGACUUACACUCAAGGGAGAGAUUUAUAACAGGACCUUGAAUUUUUUUAAGUCUAGUACCCGUAUUAAGUAAUUUAAUAGAUUAUUAUCAUGUUAAUCAAGGUAAAUAUUAAAUUUUUAGGUUUUACUUUACUUGUCAAUUAACUUUAUCUCAUGAAAUUCAUUUUUUAAUGAAAAAUGGACGAGUGGUGCAAACGAAGGAUAGUGAUGGAGAUGCGCGUAAAAUAACCAUGAUUGAUGAAUGAACAAAGCUUAGAAAGCACAACUCGCAAAUCUCACAUCCCUAAUAAUGCAACAAGUCUUUAUUAUUGAACCAACACAUUUUGGAUACCCACCAUAAUCUGGCUUAACGUACCACAUCAACCCCCUUCAAUAAUUUCCACCAACACAGGCUAGUAGUAGGUAACUAUCAUUGUGGUUUUAUUACAGUGUUUUUCCGAAAUUACAAGACUUGAUGCCCUAUGUUACUGCUUGAGUGCUUGGAGUGUUCCAAUAAUAUUUGAUUAAUCCCGCGUUCUUCAAACAGAGCAGUACCUCCGCAAGUCCAUCGCUUAGGCUUCUGGGAUUAUAAUCCAGCUCUCUUUUAGCUUUCUCGCAUGAAUACUCCCAUGCACUGAUGUCUUAAAACAU